UCUCACCUAUGACUCGCCUGCAGCUACAAACGCUUACUGGACUUUUUCGAGCACUUUGUCUCUGAAAGUAGCAAAUGAAACCUUGCCCUGUUCCACAACAAUAACCUACUACCCAGACCCUGAGUUUACAAGCUUCUCUUCUACACUGACAGGGUACAAUGUCCGCAUCACCAUACAGAAAAAGGCAGACAAACUAGGGAUGAACAUAACAGAGUUGUUUGUGUGGGGCAUUCAUGAAGAAAACCGACACCCCUGCAUCAUGGUGGACCAAGAAACCAAUGAUGAGACUGAGAUUGAAUUUUUCACCUGUGAGAUCCGAAACACUCGCAUUGCUACAUUUCAGGAGUUAGAGAUAGAGUUUGGACACACAAUGGUGAACCUUAAAUUGGUAACAACGUUGUACAUUGUGAUGCUGCUACGCCUUGUGCUGAUACCUGUCGUUCUAAUUGCUUUAAUAGUGAUCAUCUGCUGGAGCAUACAGAAGAAGUUCACCUAGAAGAAUAAGACGGUUGUGGAGGACCUUGAGCUGAGACAAGUUGUCCUUCCAAAUCCAUCAUCAUCUGAUCACUAGCACCUGUGGGCUGGAAAAAAAGGAUCGUACCAAGUUCCUUCUACUCUCUCCUACACUGGAGCAAAGAUCAUCUGCAUGGUGUCAGACACCACUCUACACAAUCUUUGUGCAUUUCCAACUUUUUGUUUCAAUUAUUAACGUUUAACUUUUUUGCUGGUUGAGUCUUAAGCAGUUAUAUAAUAGCCUUUUAAGACUCUAUUCUGCAACAGCACUGUAACUAAGACCUGCCGUCAUUACCACUUUUUUAUAUUUUUAGAAUUUAGGGGGGCCUAUGCCUUCAUUUAGACAGUUGAUAAAGUAGGAAAUUGGGAGAGAGAGGGAGAGUGGGGAAUGAAAAUGGCAAAGCGUUGAGGGUCAGGAUUGAAGCUUGAAAAGGGGUUAAGAAGUUGCAUGCUCAUGAAUCUUAUCCAUUUCAUUUCAGGCAGUCCUUCAUCAUAUGUUUAUCAGGCAAUUUUAUAGCAAAGAAGAGGGAUAGGAUUUAUCAGAAAGAUUUACAAUCAUUCAAUUUUUAUCAUUCAACCAUUUUCUUAUAGAGCUAUGAAGUUUAUAUACAAACUUAAAAUCGGAGGAGACUUUUCAAAAAGAGCAGGUAACUUAACUUACAGACAGGGACAUCUUGCAAGCCAAACAUCUUUAAGUUAGAGUGGGGUCAAGGGUUCCUUUCUUGAAAAAAGAUGGGAAGAAUGAUGCCAUUUUCUACAUUUUGAAACUUUUAUAAUCAAAGACAAAAUGUGUAUUGUUUCCCGAUGAGUCUGUGGAAACCUCAUUAAUAUCAUUGAAAAUUCCUCACAUGCUAAUUGCUAAUUUCUUUGUAAUGUUCUUUUUCUUCAAAAGAUCUCUUUAAUACUUUAAUAUUAUGUAUCAUUACGGAAUAUUAUUGUAUUGAAUAAAGAAUUGGUUUUUUUUAAUGCCAA
This is a long non-coding RNA of Labrus mixtus (cuckoo wrasse), 1485 nucleotides long. RefSeq lists it as uncharacterized. Lineage: Eukaryota; Metazoa; Chordata; Actinopteri; Labriformes; Labridae. The transcript is spliced from 5 exons. The record is from RefSeq and is a predicted model, not a curated record.